UAGGGAAUCUUCGGCAAUGGGGGCAACCCUGACCGAGCAACGCCGCGUGAGUGAAGAAGGUUUUCGGAUCGUAAAGCUCUGUUGUAAGAGAAGAACGAGUGUGAGAGUGGAAAGUUCACACUGUGACGGUAACUUACCAGAAAGGGACGGCUAACUACGUGCCAGCAGCCGCGGUAAUACGUAGGUCCCGAGCGUUAUCCGGAUUUAUUGGGCGUAAAGCGAGCGCAGGCGGUUAGAUAAGUCUGAAGUUAAAGGCUGUGGCUUAACCAUAGUACGCUUUGGAAACUGUUUAACUUGAGUGCAGAAGGGGAGAGUGGAAUUCCAUGUGUAGCGGUGAAAUGCGUAGAUAUAUGGAGGAACACCGGUGGCGAAAGCGGCUCUCUGGUCUGUAACUGACGCUGAGGCUCGAAAGCGUGGGGAGCAAACAGGAUUAGAUACCCUGGUAGUCCACGCCGUAAACGAUGAGUGCUAGGUGUUGGGUCCUUUCCGGGACUCAGUGCCGCAGCUAACGCAUUAAGCACUCCGCCUGGGGAGUACGACCGCAAGGUU
This 549-nucleotide ribosomal RNA is filed under the name uncultured bacterium. RNAcentral's name for it is "bacterial SSU rRNA". It matches the Rfam family "Bacterial small subunit ribosomal RNA", at positions 355 to 895 of the family's 1533-position model. The record is from RNAcentral.